RNAcentral lists this ribosomal RNA (270 nucleotides) under uncultured archaeon. RNAcentral describes it as "partial 16S ribosomal RNA". It matches the Rfam family "Bacterial small subunit ribosomal RNA", at positions 527 to 796 of the family's 1533-position model. The record is from RNAcentral.
CGAGGGUGCAAGCGUUAAUCGGAAUUACUGGGCGUAAAGCGCGCGUAGGCGGUUAGAUAAGUCAGAUGUGAAAUCCCCGGGCUCAACCUGGGAACUGCACCUGAUACUGUUUGACUAGAGUUUGGGAGAGGGAAGUAGAAUUUCAGGUGUAGCGGUGAAAUGCAUAGAGAUCUGAAGGAAUACCAGUGGCGAAGGCGACUUCCUGGCCUAAAACUGACGCUGAGGUGCGAAAGCGUGGGUAGCAAACGGGAUUAGAGACCCGAGUAGUCC